AGAAGCUUUUUUUGCUUGCAUUAGAAGUGGACAGCGGCGAAAGGGAGAGUAACGCGUGGAUAUCUGCCCCUAGACUCGGGAUAGCUGCGGGAAACUGCAGGUAAUACCGAAUAAUGUCUCCGGACCAAAGGUGUGAUUCCGUCUAGGGAUGAGUCCGCGUCCUACUAGCUUGUUGGUGGGGUAAAAGCCUACCAAGGCAAUGAUGGGUAGCGGGUGUGAGAGCAUGGCCCGUCUCACUGGGACUGAGACACUGCCCAGACACCUACGGGUGGCUGCAGUCGAGAAUCUUCCGCAAUGGACGAAAGUCUGACGGAGCGACGCCGCGUGCGGGAUGAAGGCCCUCGGGUUGUAAACCGCUGUCAGUUGGGAGGAAAUGCAUAAGAGUUCUCUCUUAUGUUUGACCGAUCUUCAGAGGAAGUCCGGGCUAAGUUCGUGCCAGCAGCCGCGGUAAGACGAACCGGACGAACGUUAUUCGGAAUCACUGGGCUUAAAGAGUGCGUAGGCGGCUUGGUAGGUUGGGUGUGAAAUCCCACAGCUCAACUGUGGAACUGCGCUCAAAACCACCAAGCUUGAGGAAGGCAGAGGUGAGCGGAACUGAUGGUGGAGCGGUGAAAUGCGUUGAUAUCAUCAGGAACACCGGUGGCGAAGGCGGCUCACUGGGCCUUUUCUGACGCUGAGGCACGAAAGCUAGGGUAGCGAACAGGAUUAGAUACCCUGGUAGUCCUAGCUGUAAACGAUGAGCACUUGAUCGAGGGGACCUCCACAUCCUCUCGGUCGUAGCGAAAGUGUUAAGUGCUCCGC
RNAcentral lists this ribosomal RNA (801 nucleotides) under uncultured bacterium. RNAcentral describes it as "bacterial SSU rRNA". It matches the Rfam family "Bacterial small subunit ribosomal RNA", at positions 64 to 872 of the family's 1533-position model. The record is from RNAcentral.